Molecule: ribosomal RNA, 456 nt
Filed under: uncultured bacterium
Lineage: Bacteria
Description: bacterial SSU rRNA
Rfam family: Bacterial small subunit ribosomal RNA
Source: RNAcentral
UACGGAAGGGCAGCAGUGGGGAAUAUUGCACAAUGGGCGAAAGCCUGAUGCAGCUAUGCCGCGUGUAUGAAGAAGGCCUUAGGGUUGUAAAGUACUUUCAUCGGGGAGGAAAAACAAAACUAAUAAUUUUAUUUCUUGACGUUACCCGAAAAAGAAGCACCGGCUAACUCCGUGCCAGCAGCCGCGGUAAUACGGAGGGUGCUAGCGUUAAUCAGAAUUACUGGGCGUAAAGAGCACGUAGGUGGUUUUUUUAAAGUCAGAUGUGAAAUCCCUGGGCUUAACCUGGAACUGCAUUUUGAAACUGAAAUACUAGAGUAUCGUAGAGGGAGGUAGAAUUCUAGGUGUAGCGGUGAAAUGCGUAGAUAUCUGGAGGAAUACCUGUGGCGAAAGCGGCCUCCUAAACGAAUACUGACACUGAGGUGCGAAAGCGUGGGGAGCAAACAGGGAUUAGAUACC